Molecule: ribosomal RNA, 301 nt
Filed under: uncultured bacterium
Lineage: Bacteria
Description: partial 16S ribosomal RNA
Rfam family: Bacterial small subunit ribosomal RNA
Source: RNAcentral
CAGUCGCCGCGGUAAUACGGAGGGAGCUAGCGUUGUUCGGAAUCACUGGGCGUAAAGCGCACGUAGGCGGCUAUUCAAGUCAGGGGUGAAAGCCCGGGGCUCAACCCCGGAACUGCCUUUGAAACUAGAUAGCUUGAAUCUUGGAGAGGCGAGUGGAAUUCCGAGUGUAGAGGUGAAAUUCGUAGAUAUUCGGAAGAACACCAGUGGCGAAGGCGACUCGCUGGACAAGUAUUGACGCUGAGGUGCGAAAGCGUGGGGAGCAAACAGGAUUAGAGACCCGCGUAGUCCCUGUCUCUUAUAC